CGGGGGACCAGAUUGCACAACGUUUUCGUUUUGAGGGACCAGAUUGCAUUACACGGAGCAGGCAAGGCCCUCCCCUCUGCCGUCGCCGUCGGGGGUGGCGGCCGUGGGUUCACGCGCGCCGCGGGGUUGCCCCGCCCCCCUUCUCUCCCACAAGGCCACCGCCACAACAUCUCGGGUCUCCGCCUGGAGGCGCAGCAGUAAGCGGCCGAAUAGAGGAGCCGCCUGCGGGCGACCGGCGACGAGGUUAGGGAGGAAAUCUGUUGACUCCGCUAUUGAUGUCUCCAUAAGCACCUUAACAGCUACUUCAUCACCAUUUUCCAUUGUGCCAUGAUGGAGCAGAGGUCAAAGAGGACAAGAGGUGCAUGGAUCUAUCUAGAAGGUAAAAGCCAGGACGACACGGAUUUCAUUACCAGAGGUAGAAGGAGGCUGGCCAUGGACUCGAAUCGUCGCUGUGGCCAGGACGAGCAGCGGUGCCAGGAUCCAUGUCAGUUUUGUACUCGCCGAGCUGAUGAUCGCCAUGGCACUCUUGGAUUUUUGCAAGGCGUUGCAAGCGAGAGGCAUCCACAGAGCAACCUGUGCACUUAUAUGGCAGAUGAAACCAGCUAACGCGGCCGGUUUAGUGGUAUUUUUAGUGACUCAAGCUCAAUCGGCGCGGUGUGAUAAUAAAGAAAACGAAAGCUUUGUCCAUCAGUAGGUGAACUGCUACUUGCAUUAGUCUAAAGGUAAGACUUGCCAUGGGGUUCAGUUCGAUAAUCUCUGCCAGAAUCAACUGCCCGUCAGCGAGAUAACGAGGCCCUACCUGCAGCUCGCUCCUUGAACGCACGCUGAUCUUUCUUUUGAACCAGUCCCCUCGCUGUGCGAGAAUAAAGAAGUGGAAGAAGCUACAGUUACAUUGGAAAGAAGACACAAAGAAGAAAGCCAAUUUGCAAGACCAAAUCCAAGCGUGACCAAGCUGAGGUGCAUUCCCAAACCGAGCUGAUGUAAUGAAGGUAUGAAUGCUUUUCUUGACAUUAUUAUGCGAGUUUUUAACCCAAAGCGGAGAUGGACAUGGACGUCUGCACGGCGGGGCAGUGUGGACGAGGACGACGCAGCACCCUCAGCCCCCUUCUUUUCUCCCCAGGCAAGACCUGGAUUUAUAUUGUCGGCGUAAUGAACGACCCGGCGUGUUGACUGUACGUGGGUAGGAAGAAGAAGAACACCCACCCAGGUACACUAGAUUCUACACACACACCGGCCGGUUGUUGGAUGGCUUGCUUGUUUGCCAAACUCGCAUCCCAGCAUGAACAUCGAACAAGGCAGAAACUGCACUAUCAAGCUACCAACUAAGCUAGUACUUGCCAAUAGACUGCAGGCGGUCAUAAUGGAGCUUGUUUGUAUUAAUCAGUAUAUGGCUGGCUUUAUUAAAUCCAGGGCCAUUCAGGACUGCAUUGCUUGGGCUUAUGGGUAUCUUUUCCAAUGUCACAAAGCAAGCUGCCUACUGUUGUACUUAAAAAUUGACUUUGAAAAAGCUUUUGACGAGCUUGAACAUGGAAUGAUCUUAGCUAUUUUGAGCGAGAA
Aegilops tauschii subsp. strangulata is the source of this 1557-nucleotide long non-coding RNA. RefSeq lists it as uncharacterized. The record is from RefSeq and is a predicted model, not a curated record. Lineage: Eukaryota; Viridiplantae; Streptophyta; Magnoliopsida; Poales; Poaceae.